Molecule: long non-coding RNA, 745 nt
Organism: Hipposideros armiger (great roundleaf bat)
Lineage: Eukaryota; Metazoa; Chordata; Mammalia; Chiroptera; Hipposideridae
Exons: 3
Source: RefSeq, a predicted model, not a curated record
UUGUUUUGAGGAAGCUGCGUGUGAAUGCUCUUGGAGGUAGAAAAAUACAUGGAUCAGCGGAGCCAUUCCUGGAUCCUAAGGACCGUGGACUCUCCGGAGAGAGCAUCCUUCCCCAGUUUGAAGAGUGUAUUGUCAAGUGUGUAUAUCAGAGGGCCUGCAGAUGAUACAAGGAAUUUUCCUCGGGGUUCCUACACCUCAGAGAGAAAACAGUUCUAGGUCCUGACGCCCAUCCUGGAUGACACGCUUGCAGCUCUGGUGAUUUCACAGGCCAAACACACAGAGCACGCGUGAACGUGAGGCCCCGGCCACACACCUGCCCAGUCUGACCAAGAACCUGACCCCAUGCUGCAGCAACAGAGUGCCCAAGUUCAGACGUCCCGGUGACGCACCAUGCCAAUUGUCGAUAAGUUGAAAGAAGCCCUGAAGCCUGGCCGCAAGGACUCGGCUGACGAUGGAGACCUGGGGAAGCUUCUGGCCUCAUCUGCCAAGAAGGUCCUUUUACAGAAGAUUGAGUUCGAGCCAGCCACCAAGAGCUUCUCUUAUCAGCUGGAGUCAUUGAAGAGCAAAUAUGUGUUGUUGAACCCCAAAUCGGAGGGAGCCAGUCGCCACCGGAGCGGAGAUGAAACGCAGGCCAGGAGACAGGGUACAGACGCCUAGUUUGCUGGCAGAAAGGGCCUCGCCCUGUGUUGCCCAAGUGGAUGAUGAAGCGUUGACUGAUGAGUAGGAACCAAACCAGAAUGUGGUC